UGAACGCUGGCGGCGUGCCUAAUACAUGCAAGUCGAGCGAACAGAUGAGGAGCUUGCUCCUCUGACGUUAGCGGCGGACGGGUGAGUAACACGUGGAUAACCUACCUAUAAGACUGGGAUAACUUCGGGAAACCGGAGCUAAUACCGGAUAAUAUAUUGAACCGCAUGGUUCAAUAGUGAAAGACGGUUUUGCUGUCACUUAUAGAUGGAUCCGCGCCGCAUUAGCUAGUUGGUAAGGUAACGGCUUACCAAGGCAGCGAUGCGUAGCCGACCUGAGAGGGUGAUCGGCCACACUGGAACUGAGACACGGUCCAGACUCCUACGGGAGGCAGCAGUAGGGAAUCUUCCGCAAUGGGCGAAAGCCUGACGGAGCAACGCCGCGUGAGUGAUGAAGGUCUUCGGAUCGUAAAACUCUGUUAUUAGGGAAGAACAAAUGUGUAAGUAACUAUGCACGUCUUGACGGUACCUAAUCAGAAAGCCACGGCUAACUACGUG
Molecule: ribosomal RNA, 495 nt
Filed under: uncultured bacterium
Lineage: Bacteria
Description: partial 16S ribosomal RNA
Rfam family: Bacterial small subunit ribosomal RNA
Source: RNAcentral